UGCCGAUCAGGGCGCGGGCCAGUUCAAGACGGCUUUGCAGGUUAUCGGGUUCCGCGGCCACCUUCUGUUUCAGCGGUUCCAGUUCGCUGUCAUCGAC
RNAcentral lists this transfer RNA (97 nucleotides) under Sneathiella chinensis. RNAcentral describes it as "tRNA-Ala". The record is from RNAcentral. Lineage: Bacteria; Pseudomonadati; Pseudomonadota; Alphaproteobacteria; Sneathiellales; Sneathiellaceae.